This 501-nucleotide ribosomal RNA is filed under the name uncultured Desulfobulbus sp. RNAcentral describes it as "bacterial SSU rRNA". It matches the Rfam family "Bacterial small subunit ribosomal RNA", at positions 887 to 1383 of the family's 1533-position model. Lineage: Bacteria; Pseudomonadati; Thermodesulfobacteriota; Desulfobulbia; Desulfobulbales; Desulfobulbaceae. The record is from RNAcentral.
GCCCGCUCAGAAACUUAAAGGAAGUUGACGGGGCCCGGCACAAGCGGUGGAGUAUGUGGUUUAAUUCGAUGCAACGCGAAGAACCUUACCUGGUCUUGACAUCCCGGAGACCCUUAGGAACUAGGGGUGCUUCCAUCUGGAAGAAUCUGGAGACAGGUGCUGCAUGGCUGUCGUCAGCUCGUGUCGUGAGAUGUUGGGUUAAGUCCCGCAACGAGCGCAACCCUUGCCUUUAGUUGCCAGCAGUUCGGCUGGGCACUCUAAAGGGACUGCCGGUGUUAAACCGGAGGAAGGUGGGGAUGACGUCAAGUCCUCAUGGCCUUUAUGACCAGGGCUACACACGUACUACAAUGGCCGAUACAAAGGGCAGCGACACUGCGAGGUGAAGCCAAUCCCGUAAAAUCGGUCUCAGUCCGGAUUGGAGUCUGCAACUCGACUCCAUGAAGUUGGAAUCGCUAGUAAUCGUGGAUCAGCAUGCCACGGUGAAUACGUUCCCGGGCCUUU